Molecule: long non-coding RNA, 861 nt
Organism: Humulus lupulus (European hop)
Lineage: Eukaryota; Viridiplantae; Streptophyta; Magnoliopsida; Rosales; Cannabaceae
Exons: 2
Source: RefSeq, a predicted model, not a curated record
GAACUUUUAAGUUUGCAAAAUCACUUGAGAUGAAUAAAGUUUUGGCUUUGAGUUUGACAUAUAUGCUAAUUGCUUCAAAAUUUUGCUCACCUUCAGCACUUACAAUGCAGUUUUCAUCUGUUAACAGGGAGUGUGAAGUCUCUCAUAAGCCUGCCCUGCUUCAUGUCUCAUGCUAGCAUACCAGCUGAAAAAGUUUUAUUGCAGAAAUUGGGCUAAACCUUAUAUUAAAGAUGCUAAAGAAGUUUCCAGGUGCAUUUUUAUUUUAUUGUUUUUCUUUAUGAUUUUGUUGUAUAAGAAGUCAAAGUGUGAUUCUGUUUUUAUUCUUUAAUUUUUUUGGGGAUAUAUUGACAGAAUUUAGAGUUCUGGAAUCAAUUCUUCAUCACAUACUUUUUGAUCAUUGAGAAUGAUAUAUUUGUUAUCUUGAUACAUUUCACAAGCCUUAUUUUAAGUUGCAUGUUUUGUUGCUUUAGUCGUUGUUUUGCAUGGUAGUACAUCUUGCUAUACCCUACUGUUUUGUCAAGUUUUGGAGUUAUUACAAAUUUAAUUUAAACUUUAUAUGCUUAGAGGUGGAAACUAGCUUAAGUCUUAUGUUCUUAAUAAUAAAAGGACUUUUUUUUUUACAAUGUGCAGGUAUAUUGAGAUGAUUUCUUUGGAGAAAUUCUUGACAACAUUUGUAGUUGAGGCCUUUAGAAUGGAAUAAUGUAUUUCACUAAUUUUUGUACACAUUUCUUGUUUUGUAUUUAGUGAUAAAGGAAUCUGAAUUGGGCAUAAAUUAUGUUGUAAUAUGAUUUCUUAAGCCUAGACUAGUAGACUAAAUAUUGUAAUUACAUUUGAGUAAUUAAUAAAAAUCUAUUUAUGUUA